Molecule: long non-coding RNA, 3202 nt
Filed under: Homo sapiens (human)
Lineage: Eukaryota; Metazoa; Chordata; Mammalia; Primates; Hominidae
Description: HSALNT0054025
Source: RNAcentral
GGCAGCUGUUGCUCCUCAGUGUGGCGCUAGUUGGGGAGUUAGAGGGAAGAGUUCAGUUUGACUCCAGGACAGGGCUUGAAUAAUUCAGAACACUGUUUUUUUUUCUUUUGCCACAGAGUCUCACUCUGCUGCCCAGGCUGAAGUGCAAUGGCAUGAUCUCUACUCACUGCAACCUCUGCCUCCCAGGUUCAAGUGAUUCUCCUGUCUCAGCCUCCCAAGUAGCUGGGAUUACAGGCAUGCACCACCUGGAUAAUUUUUGUAUUUUUAGUAAAGACAGUGUUUCACCAUGUUGACCAGGCUUGUCCUGAACUCCUGACCUCAAGUGAUCCACCCACCUCAGCCUCCCAAAGUGCUGGGAUUACAGGCAUGAGCUACCACACCUGGCCCAGAACAUUAUUGAUGACACCCCUGAGGCUGGGGAGCCAUGACCCUGCCCCUUUAAGGACCCUGCUCCGAACUGAAACAGUAACACACAUCCAUGAGCUAGGACAGGGAAGAGAAUGACAAGGACUCUAAACCACCCAGCAGUGAAAUUUCCAAUGGAAAUAAGACCCACUGGGCCCCUCUGUGUUGGGGGUGGAGUGGGGGAGGGCAGCACUCCUGGAGACUCAGAUCGGUUUUCAGGUUGUUUGCCCCAGCACUAAGCCGAGAAGUGAGCAAGGAGGGUUUGAAGCUUCAAGUCCACACCCAAGGUCUGCUCAGUGGGAAAUCCUUCAUCCCUGAACCCACCAGCAAUUCCAGACCCAGGGGUGAAGGGAGGUGCAGGUGAGGGUUUGGCCAAGGCAUCCCCAGGGACAAGCACGGAUGACAGCAGAUGCUGCUGUCUCUUGGGGCCUGCACCUCGGCAGAGGCUGAUUCCAGCUUGCAGUUCUCCGCCACUUGCAGGUUGCCCUGGAGUUUGCAGUAUGCAUUUACAACUAAUCCAAGUCCACUUUGAAAUAAUUCUAUACUGCUUCAAGGUCAUGGAGGACAUUCAGGACUUGAGCACUUACCAAAUCACCUUUGAAGUGGAGCCCUGUGUGUGCUGAGACCACUAGGACCCUGGAACGGGUGCCCGUCACUCACAGAGCCUGUCAGCUUCAGAGGCUGGAAAUGGAAAUCCCAGGCCUACUUGUACACAGGAAUCUCCUGGAGCGAGGAUGUCCUCUUUUCUGAUACCCGCAGAACUGGCAUUUAAGGGGAUGCCUGUGCAGUAUAGCGAAGGAUAGAGCCUCAGAAAUAGCCCUUCUGGAUCAAUCACGUCUCUAGUUUCUAUAAAUGGAAGCUUAACAUCUGCUCUGCAUGUGUAUGCCAGAUCCACCUUGUUCUGGACAACCCUGUGACAUGCCUGAGUCACCCAGCCUUGGCCCUUCCCUGCUCACUGCCUCCUCUCCCUCCUUCGAGAGAAGUCAUCCUCCCAGGAAUGUGCUUUUCAAAUACAAACCAACCAAUCCAGAGUCCACACACCGUACUAACUGGGCUCUCAUGAUCCAGGCCACUGUCCUCCUGCCCUAAUCACCUCAGGGCCAGGUACCAGACAACCAAGGACAGCACCUGUGCCCCAGAGCCUGCGGAGAUUACCUACUCACCCUGCCUCGCCCAUUCCUUCCUGCAGAAAACACAACUCAGACUCUUGCCCACAGUUCCCCAGCCCCUCUUGUGACUGACCCUGGUGCCUCCCCAUGUGACCCCACCAUGGCAUCAUGGGGGCUCCCUCUCUUGGGACCUGUUGGCAUGAUAAGCUAUGUUUCCAAUAGCAGUCAUCUCCUCAUCUCGGCCUCAUCACACCUAAAGAAUAAUAAAACCCGUUGAAACACCUUCAACUCAACAGGACAGACUGGCCCAUUGGAAUCAUUUAGACUUGCAGACAUUUUGUUCAUGCUGUACAGCGUUUCUUCCAGGUACUCUGUUUCGCAGCAGAAAGAGCAGGGCUGAGAUUCACAGACCUGACUUCAGAUCCCCCUUCUAUCACUUACUAGCAUGUGGUCAUCUAUAAUUUACAUAGAUGUGGAAUAAUCCACAGUUUUGAGUAUUUUACUCUCUAGACCUGUGGAAAAUUACUGCUUCCUUUAGUCCUAAAUGUGGAAAAGAAAAUUUGUGUUUAUAUUGUGCCACAAUCUGGGGGGAGGGAGGGAGGGAGAAAAAUGUCAUAUCUGAAACACUCAAAUGAAAACCUUAUAUGUUACUACAUACAUAAAUAUUCAUAUUUAUAGAUAUGUAAAUGUUUAUUUAAAUGUCAGUGGCACCUUCAUUAUUGCGGAUAAGUAGCCCUGGGUGAACAGUCUGUAUUUAUCAACAUCGAGAUUGAAAUUAAGGCUAACCAUUGACCUCAGCCUGCAAUUGACGUAGUUGACGCACUCUUUCAGAGUCAGAUGAUAGUUCAUCAGUAAAAUGAGAAUAAUAAUAACUACUUCCUAAUAUGGUACAGGAUUAAUUGAGAUACAUUUUGUAAAGGACUCCAAAGGAUGUCUUACACAAAGGAGAAGCUUAAGGAGCUCAUCCCUCUAACUCAGUCACCUGAAGAUCUCAUGGGUAAAGUCAGAGACAUCCUCACCCUGAAGAGAGUAGUGCAGGCAAGUGUGGGAAUGCUGUGUGUGGCAGAGACGACCCUGACCCUGGUCUUCUAAAUCAUUUAGAAGAACCGUGUUCUUUCUGAUGAAGAUUCCCACCUGAAAAUGUUCAUAUCAAGGUGACUGAUGUUCUAGAGCAGCAUUGUCCAGCGAAACUUUCUUCAGUGAUGGGAAGGUCCUGUGCCUCUGCUGUCCAGGAUGGCAUCCACUCCCACCUUUACCUACUGAGCACUUGAAAUGUGGCGACUGCAACUGAGGAGCUGAAUUUUUUUAUUUAAUUUAAAUUUAAGUUUAAAUUUAGGGAACCACAUGUGGCUCAUAGCUACCACGUUGGCAUAGACCUAGAGCUCAUCUAAAAAGUGAAACAAGUGUGGAUCCUCCUAUAACUAAGAAAAAAGAAAACUUACCCUUUCAUCUUGAGGUAGGAGGUGGGACUCAAUUCUGGAAGCAGGGCUCAGACAUUGGACCAAAUUGAGGACUAGUUAAAAUAGGAACUAGGAAUGGGGUGGAGACACCUUUCCAUAAGACAUGCCCACCAGUGUGCCAUGUCAAUUUACCAUUGUUGUGGCAACACCUGGAAGUUACCACCCCUUUCCAUGGCAAUGACCUGAUGACCCAGAAGUUACCACCCCUUUUCUAGAAAUUUCUGCAUA